This 274-nucleotide long non-coding RNA is filed under the name Manihot esculenta (cassava). Its description in RNAcentral is "long non-coding RNA (MESC_LNC011902)". Lineage: Eukaryota; Viridiplantae; Streptophyta; Magnoliopsida; Malpighiales; Euphorbiaceae. The record is from RNAcentral.
ACUACUAAAUAACUUGGGUUAACCAUUUUGGGCCAAGUGGAAAGUGGGUCUAAAAGUUAUUUGGGCCAGUUUGGGCCCGGCUGUUUCAAUUGGUAUCAGAGCCACCCUGGGUCAGACAAAUUGUGCGGAGCUAGUGGGCCUGCGAGGAAAGGGCUACCCGUGAGAGACGAGGUGGAGCCGCUCGAGGUACUAGCGAACCACAAUACCCGAGGGUUCGGUCCUGGUUAGCAAUUGUAAUGGAUUCAGUUGCGACGAGGACGUCGCAAAAUUUAGC